UACGAACCGUGCGAGCGUUAUUCGGAAUCACUGGGCUUAAAGCGCGUGUAGGCGGGCCGGCACGUCCGUGGCUGAAAGCCCCCGGCUCAACCGGGGAAGGGGCGCGGAUACGACCGGCCUGGAGGGGGGUAGGGGGACCUGGAACUUCCGGUGGAGCGGUGAAAUGCGUUGAGAUCGGAAGGAACGCCCGUGGCGAAAGCGAGGUCCUGGACCCUUUCUGACGCUGAGACGCGAAAGCCAGGGGAGCGAACGGG
Molecule: ribosomal RNA, 254 nt
Filed under: uncultured bacterium
Lineage: Bacteria
Description: partial 16S ribosomal RNA
Rfam family: Bacterial small subunit ribosomal RNA
Source: RNAcentral